Molecule: ribosomal RNA, 353 nt
Filed under: uncultured bacterium
Lineage: Bacteria
Description: partial 16S ribosomal RNA
Rfam family: Bacterial small subunit ribosomal RNA
Source: RNAcentral
CCUACGGGAGGCAGCAGUGGGGAAUAUUGGACAAUGGGGGAAACCCUGAUCCAGCGACGCCGCGUGAGUGAAGAAGUAUUUCGGUAUGUAAAGUUCUAUCAGCAGGAAAGAAAAUGACGGUAUCUGACUAAUAAGCCCCGGCUAACUACGUGCCAGCAGCCGCGGUAAUACGUAGGGGGCAAGCGUUACCCGGAUUUACUGGGCGUAAAGGGAGCGUAGACGGGAGCGCAAGUCUGGGGUGAAAUGCCAGGGCUCAACCCCGGAACUGCUCUGGAAACUGUGAAGCUGGAGUGCAGGAGAGGUAGGCGGAAUUCCUGGUGUAGCGGUAAAAUGCGUAGAGAUCAGGAGGAACA